Molecule: ribosomal RNA, 119 nt
Filed under: Pteropus alecto (black flying fox)
Lineage: Eukaryota; Metazoa; Chordata; Mammalia; Chiroptera; Pteropodidae
Source: RNAcentral
GUCUACGGCCAUGCCACCCUGAACAAGCCCGAUCCCGUCUGAUCUCAGAAGCUAAGCAGGGUUGGGCCUGGUUAGUACUUGGGUGGGAGACCACGCAGGAAGACCAGGUGCUGUAGGUG